This is an RNA transcript of Spinacia oleracea (spinach), 2905 nucleotides long. RefSeq lists it as uncharacterized. Lineage: Eukaryota; Viridiplantae; Streptophyta; Magnoliopsida; Caryophyllales; Amaranthaceae. The record is from RefSeq and is a predicted model, not a curated record. The transcript is spliced from 4 exons.
ACGUAUCACUGACUAAUUUUUUCUGUUUUCUUUUUUAUUAUUGUAUUCCCUAAUCACUCUCAUGUCUGCUUCUCGGUGUUUCCUCUCCAGCCUUCCUUCCCUUUCUCUCUCCUCCCCCAUCCUCUAUGUCCUAUAAGCUUGAACCCUGAAAAUGGCCGACUUCUUCUUCAAGACCAAGAAAGUCAAGGUUGUUCUCCAAAGACUCCCAUCUCUCUACUGGUUACGAUUUAUCCAGGUUUCUCUCUCCUCUCUAGAACAUUCUAAAGUUACCACUUACCACUACUUGAAACAUACCAACUAUUCAAAUUGAAACCCAGUUUCUUAAAUCUACGAAAUUGCAUCUGCGAAAUUGUUGGGAAGCUUUGGUUCCUACUGAUUUGAGUAUUGUUGUUCUUCGAUCAAGGAACAUAUGCCCAAUUUGGACACUCCUGUUGAACCACAACGUUAUUAUAAGCUCUUGGAGAAGGAUACAAUACAAUUUGUAAUAGCACUCGAGAAUAUUUGCUGCUGCAUGAGAACUCCAAUACCAAAUCAACCUCAGCUACCAGACUCAUAGUUGUCGUUGAUGGCGCGAGAAUAUGCAUAAGGAUUCUUGCAGGAUUUUCUUCAAUCUUGCGAAUGUGUUGCAAGUUCAACUUGCGAAUGUGUUGCUCGUGUUGCUGAUCUCUUAAACUUGGUGGGUAUGGCUUUUUUUAUCGCUGGUGGAUAGCGAUGUAGCAUGCCUCAUGUCAAGAUCGAGAUUGCUCUUCUCUAUGGUCUAUACAAAUCAUGGAAUACAAAUAUUCUUUAUUUAUGUUAAUGAAAACUACUUUGCUAACAAAGACUAAUUUAUCAUUAUUCGGUUUUAGCUAAAUUGAUAACCACAUCCAUUUUAUAUACUUCUUUUCUUGAAAAAUUACAUAGCGAACAAACAACAUAACAUUAGUAUAUAAUACAUUACAAAAUCAAAUCAAUAUCGAUUACAAUCUGCCAUUUCUACAUAUCAUUAGUACAAAUAUACAGAGAGCAUUAGAACAAAGUUGGUACUAAGUUAGUUUUUCCUACGAAUACCGCGCGCAACGCGUGCGGCCCCCAACUACUAGUUUUCUUAAAAGUUUGAGCUUGUUCACGAGGUGAGCUCAGCUCAUGAAAAUUUCGACCAGAGCUUAUAUGUUCACGAACAAGGUAUGUUCAUUAACUCCCGUACGUACAAGAUAGCAGAAAGGUUUUACUUCAACAUAUCAAACCACAAACCAUAUGACAAGCAACACACAAGAAUUCGUUCAUGUCGAGGGUUAGACACUAAACCCUUAGGAUUAACAACUCAAAGAUUUCUAAAUGUUAAGGGACUUGUGAACUAAACCGUGUUGCCAUGUUGAUCCUGACUUUUAGAGGCUCUAGGAGAAAAAAUAAUUAUUGGCCCCUAUAUAUAAAUAAGAAUUUUAAAUUUUAAAUCUACAUGACAAAUAAGUUCAUUAAAUUAAUACGCUAAUUAUACUUUUACGGUGCAUUUUGUUACAAAGUACAAUAUUUUGUAGAGAUAAAUCAGAUGCAUUCAAAAUUUCUUUCAUCUUAUUUCUAUGAUUUCAUUAAAAGAAAAAUGAGAUUUUACGUCUUUAUAUACAUUUCACGAAGAGUAUGAAAUGUAAGAAGAUUAUGACACGUUAAUCUUUAUAGGAUAAGAUCCUUAACACAAGUAACUUUCAUACUUCCUCCGUCUUUUAAUACUCGCAACGUUUGGACUUUUGCCACUAUUCAUAUAAUCUGCUUUGACUAUUCGUAGUGUUUUUUAUAUAAGAUAAAACAUAGUCGUGUGGGAUCUUAUUAAAUUCGUCUCAAUGUUAUUUUCAAAAUAUCAACUUUUUAUAAUUUUUGCAUAAAGAAAAUUUAAGAUAUAAAUGAUCAAAAUUGUGCAUUGGCAUGCGUGAAACUAACAAACGUUGCGAGUAUUAAAAGACGGAGGAAGUAUAUGUUAAUAUUUUUAAAAAUAAAUUGAAUAAUUUUAUUAGAUCUUGAUUUUGUUGAAUUAAAGAUGUCAAACAACUCAAAAAUAAAAUAAAAUUUACAGUACAUAACACUAGGAAGUAUGAAUGAAAAGACUUAAAUUUGUUAAACAUAUGUAGAAAAAAAGAACAAAAACUUUUGUGUGCCCCCGAUCUACGGUAUUUUACUGUACAUCCAAAUAUAAAAGUGAACUAGAUAAAAAUAUAUAAGUGACCUUAUUCAAGGACUAAAGUUACCUUACUCUAGGAUAAAUGUGACCCUAAGCAUUGAAAAACGCGACCCUAACAAUAAACAAUGAAGUGACCCUAAUCAAAAGUGAUAUGCUUGUGCAAGUUAUAACUAUGACCAAUACAACACCACAAAUGAAAAUAUACAUCAAUACACAAAUACAAUAUAGGUAGUAAGCUACGUGGAGCUUCACCCCACACCAUGUACAGUAUUGUACAUUGCUCUACCAUUUGAGUUAAUAGCCUUGCAAAUAAGGUAACUUAUAACUACAAUAAAGAAAACUUAUAACAUCAAUAAGGGUAACUAAAAGAACAUAAUAUUUGCGGAUAACCUUCCUCUUUUAGACCGUCACACAAUAUAUUAUCGUAGAUCGGCCUUUCUGAAAAGUUUGUAAAAAAAGAAAAGAACCGAAAAAAUUAUUAAAGGAAUUGAUUUUAGAAACAAAUACUCCCAUAGUUAAAAUAAGAAAAAUAUAAAAAAACCAAAGCCAGAUGCUUUAAUUAGUAAAAAAACAAAGCGGAGGAAUUAAAUUCAAAAGGUUGUCCGACAGUUUACCUCCUGAAAAUUCCUAUCUCUUUCUCAACCGGGCAAGCUGAUUCUCCUCAACUCAAUAAUCUCAGCAAUGACCACUCAUAUUAUGGGCAUAUACCAGAUUCCAAAGGUGGUGCUUAAAAAGAUUUCUUCUCUUAUGCUC